This 404-nucleotide ribosomal RNA is filed under the name uncultured bacterium. RNAcentral describes it as "bacterial SSU rRNA". It matches the Rfam family "Bacterial small subunit ribosomal RNA", at positions 357 to 776 of the family's 1533-position model. The record is from RNAcentral.
GGGAAUAUUGGGCAAUGGAGGAAACUCUGACCCAGCAAUGCCGCGUGAAUGAAGAAGGUCUUCGGAUUGUAAAGUUCUUUAGUCAGGGAAGAAGUCAAUGACGGUACCUGAAGAAUAAGCUCCGGCUAACUACGUGCCAGCAGCCGCGGUAAUACGUAGGAUGCGAGCGUUAUCCGGAUUUAUUGGGUUUAAAGGGUGCGUAGGCGGGCUUUUAAGUCAGCGGUAAAAAUUCGGGGCUCAACCCCGUCCGGCCGUUGAAACUGGGGGCCUUGAGUGGGCGAGAAGAAGGCGGAAUGCGUGGUGUAGCGGUGAAAUGCAUAGAUAUCACGCAGAACCCCGAUUGCGAAGGCAGCCUUCCGGCGCCCUACUGACGCUGAGGCACGAAAGUGCGGGGAUCGAACAGG